GACGAACGCUGGCGGCGUGCUUAACACAUGCAAGUCGAGCGGAGCGGCGAACGGGUGGGUAACGCGUGAGUAACUGCCCCCCUCUCUGGGUUCCCAGUUGGAAACGGCUGCUAAUACCGGAUAGUGGGGGAUGACUCGCGUCCUAUCGGCUUGUUGGUGGGGUAGUGGUCUACCAAGGGGACGACGGGUAGCCGGCCUGAGAGGGGGAGCGGCCACACAGGGCCGAGGGACGGCAGCAAGUGCGACGGUUGGGAGAUGUGGGGAAGAAUGCACAAUAGGGGAAACCCUGAGGCAGCAACGCCGGUGCGGGAAGCCGGCCUGUGGGUGGUAAACCGCGUUCAGCCAUGACGCGGUAGUUGCAGAAGAAGCAACGGCUAACUACGUGCCAGCAGCCGCGGUAAUUC
This 404-nucleotide ribosomal RNA is filed under the name uncultured bacterium. RNAcentral's name for it is "partial 16S ribosomal RNA". It matches the Rfam family "Bacterial small subunit ribosomal RNA", at positions 28 to 526 of the family's 1533-position model. The record is from RNAcentral.